Molecule: non-coding RNA, 2796 nt
Organism: Epinephelus lanceolatus (giant grouper)
Lineage: Eukaryota; Metazoa; Chordata; Actinopteri; Perciformes; Serranidae
Source: RefSeq, a predicted model, not a curated record
GUGGACACAGUGCAGAGCCUCCAAAAAAGCACAUAGCUGACAGAGAGAAAACCUGACACUGUUGAUAUUAAUGAUACAAUUGCUGUCAGCUUGGCAUCUCCAAAUACACCUGCAAAGAGUGAGAGACCAGAAUGUAGAAGUCAACAGAACAGAAGCUUUAAUUUUCACUUCAUUGUACAUGCCAUGGCAGGCCUUUCUUCUGAGCUUGAGGAUGUUGUUCAAAAUACUGGUAGCCUAUCGGAUGAAGUGGAUUUACGUCAACCUGCCUUCAGAAACAGGGCUAUUGUAUUUAAAUAUGUAUUAAUAUUUUAACUUUUAACUCCUAUAACAAGGAUUCUAGUUACAAUGUAGAAGUGUUUCACACAGAGCAGAAUCAAACAAUAGUGUAGUUUCCUGUUCUUCACACACCCAAGCCCACACCACAUCUGCCUGAGGCUAUAGUCAGAUGUCACUUAGUUUCACUUCUCAGUAAAAGAAAGCAAUGCUACAGUAGGGGGAUCAAUGGCAGAGAGAGUUUGAAGACGCUUGUUCAGAAACUACACAAACAAACUUCAUCCUGCAGUAAUUCAGGGGACCCAGGAAAAUGCUUCCACCCGUGUUAGUCGUGCUCACGCUCAUCUCUUUAACCUGUGCACAAAAUCCUGCAAUACAAGUCAUCCUGACUAACAAAGGACUCCAGUACGGAAAACAUGUAGGUGCAGGAUGGAUUCAGGAGAAGUUGGACGUUGUCAGUCUCCCUGACAUCAGCGGGGAAUUCGGCAUUGGCAUCCUUGGCAGCGUAGACUACACGCUGACAGGCACCACCAUAACAAAGUGUGACUUUCCGGAGCCAUCUGUUCAGUUCUAUCAGAACACCACAGGAUUCAAGACGUCCAUCCCAGGCCUCAGUAUUGCACUUAGUGGCAGUUGGAUGACACACUAUGGCAUAAUACAUGACGGAGGAUCAUUCGACAUGGCUAUAUUUAAUAUGGAUGUGACCUCUGUGGUGGAGCUGGGCAAAGACCCUGACGGCCAUCUGUCUGUCACCAGUGUUAGCUGUGAUGCUCAGGUUGGAGAUGUGAACAUACAGUUUCACGGUGGAGCCAGUUGGCUCUUCCAGCCUUUAGUGGAGCAUUUCAAGGGGCGUAUCAAGGAUAAAAUACAGGGCAAUAUCUGCCCUUGGGUGGAGGAAUAUAUUUCAAGCUUGGAGUACCAUCUACAGGCCAUGACAGUUUCCUUUGAUGUGGAUGACAUCUUUGCUUUUGACCUUCCUCUCACUGGCACACCCAUCAUUGAUGCUUCAAGUAUGAAUCUGGGUCUUAAGGGAGAGUUCUACAACAUCAGAACUCAUGCAGAGCCUCCAUUUAAGGCCCAGCCUUUCACUGUGCCUCAGCCACCAGGCUACAUGUUGUCAGUGGGCCUGUCUGACUUCACUCUGAACUCUGCCUCAUAUGGACUCUACUCAGCUGGACUGCUUCAGGCCCUCAUCAAUGACAGCAUGAUACCUCCAUACAUCCCCUUGCACCUAAAUACCAGCGCAAUGGGGCCUUUCAUUCCUGAGCUUCCCAAAAUGUUUCCAGGUCUGCUGAUGAAUCUGCAGAUUUAUGCCAGAGAGGUGCCGAUGUUUUCCUUCCAGCCUGGUGUUGUUAAACUGGGCUUUCAGGCUGCUCUUAAGGCUUCCGCCAUCCAGCCAAAUGGUACCCAGAUCCCACUGUUCAAACUCAAUGCUGACUUUAAAUUCAGUGGUAAAGUGUUGAUUGCUGAUGGAACACUAAAGGGCUCCAUGGCACAGGACAAUUUCACACUGACGCUGGUGUCGAGUGAAGUGGGAACCGUUAAGAUCGAUUCCUUGGAAGAGGUGACGAUGAUGGGAAUGAAGAUAGUCUUGGCAAAAGUGAACGUGGAACUUGGCAAAGGUGUUGUUUUACCCAGAACGAGACACACAGAGCUGGUCAACACAGUUCUGGAGGUGGAUGAGGGCUUUAUAGCCGUCUCCUCAGAUGCUCAGGUGUUGCUAACAGACAGAGGCUUCAACUGACAGACAAACAUGGACGCUCUUCAUCUCAGUUCAGAUUCUUCAGCUUUAAACCAGUAAACAAACUGGAUUUGUCUACAUCUGACACCACAUGACAAAGGCACUACUGUGUUUAAGAGCAUGCCGUGUGCCACUGUGCCAUUGCUUGUACUACCACCAGAGGGCACUAAAUUAAAAAUAUAUAUGUCCAUAACAUCAUCUCUAGAAAUGUGCUUAAUAAUGGAGGGUGCAAGGAUUUAACAUUUUCCUGAAGAACCAAUGUACAGUUUUUCUCCACUGCAUAUUCACAAAAAAUGAAACUAUGCACAUAAUUCUGGGAACUUGAAGAUCUUGUAUCAACAACAGGACUUCAGACUGCUAAACUCUAAGCACUAUUCUAUUGUUUUUCACUCCAGAAGAUAUUGUAUGUCACGCUUCUGCAAAAACUCUAACACAUACAGCAUAAUUCAGCACGCCUUGUUCGGCCGGAGAACGCUGGCCUUAAAAUGCCACGUCCUAAUUACCAAUAGGUCUCACUCACAUCUCACCUGUUCAAAGUCAACUGGCGAAACAAUCCUUUGAGAGAGAACAAGAAGAAGGCGGCCUUGUUACUUUUAAUUUGUGCCCUGAUUUCGCCCUUACAGCUCCAGGGGACAGUCUUACAGUCGUAUUCUGUCACUGUAAUGUUUCUCAUUUUACUUAUUAUUGCAGUUCUUUUAAGUUUUGCCAAAGUAGGUAACAUUUGCGUAAUCUCAGAACCUAACAAUGUUGCAUUGUCAACUUUUAUAGUGUGAAUCUGUGAA